UGUGUGUGUGUGUGUGUGUGUGUGUAGGUCCCCGAAAUUGCGUCCUUCUGCGGAUUCGGUAUUUACAAUUCACACGGCUAAGCAAGUGUUGUCCAUGAAAAAAGCACUGUCGCGUCCUUCAAGACGGGAAGGUGUGAGGGGAGAAGGAAAAAAAAAAAAAAAAGAAAAAUCACAGCUCUCUUCUGCGCGAGUCAGGAAACUGUCAAGGCCAGCGGGAAGCGAACGCAGAUGGAGGAGAAAUGGACGGAUGGACGUGGUGGCGAGCGUUCAGGGAUGGAUGCAAAAGCGAGGAGACGGGAGAUGGUGGAGGUCAUCGCUGUGUCUAACGCCAACACCCACUGCACAACACUUGUGUGUGUGUGUCUGUCGUGAGAGCUGUGAGAAAAAGGUCACGUCUGGUCGUAGUCAGGAGUCUCUCAUAUGCACUGGAUCAGCCGUGGCAGAGG
Phycodurus eques (leafy seadragon) is the source of this 446-nucleotide long non-coding RNA. RefSeq lists it as uncharacterized. Lineage: Eukaryota; Metazoa; Chordata; Actinopteri; Syngnathiformes; Syngnathidae. The transcript is spliced from 3 exons. The record is from RefSeq and is a predicted model, not a curated record.